UCUUUAUAGAGUGCAAGUCUGUUCUUCUAUCCAAGGCCGAGAGAACAAGAUGAUUGGAGUCCCAGGAUUCCUCAUUCACGGCCUCUGUAGUGAUCAGGGGUUGAAACACCCUACUCAUCCUACCUGAU
This 128-nucleotide small nucleolar RNA is filed under the name Sorex araneus (European shrew). RNAcentral describes it as "U8 small nucleolar RNA (ENSSARG00000019613.1)". It matches the Rfam family "U8 small nucleolar RNA". Rfam says of the family: U8 is a member of the C/D class of snoRNA which contain the C (UGAUGA) and D (CUGA) box motifs. Lineage: Eukaryota; Metazoa; Chordata; Mammalia; Eulipotyphla; Soricidae. The record is from RNAcentral.